GGCAGAGAUAAAAUGGGAAAUUCUCUACAGUCUAUCGAUAGGAGUGUGAGUUUUAGAACUAUACUUUGUUACUUGUUUGCGAUACACCAUAAAACUCUAUGUUUAUACCUUAUUAUGGUUAGAGAAAGAAAAUGAACAAGUAAGCCUUGAGGACAUCAUAACACAUAAAUAAGUAAAUCUUGGCAGUGGGAAAUCAAAUGAAUAAGU
Molecule: long non-coding RNA, 207 nt
Filed under: Capsicum annuum
Lineage: Eukaryota; Viridiplantae; Streptophyta; Magnoliopsida; Solanales; Solanaceae
Description: long non-coding RNA (CANN_LNC006675)
Source: RNAcentral